GCGCGUAGUGCGGUUGGGGAUUGAAACUCGGGCACUGUCACAUUCGUAACAGAAUGUCGGGUUACGAGGCAUCAACAAACGUGGCCAACAAUGGCGACUUUUUGGAAGUUAACUCGGAGCGUUCUUCAAAAUACAUUUACGUUUUGACGUUUCUAAGCGCAAUUGGAGGGUUCCUUUUUGGCUAUGACACGGGUGUGGUGUCUGGUGCUAUGUUGCUCAUAAGGAAGGAAUUGGCGCUGACUACUGCCUGGCAUGAGGCAAUUGUGUCGGCGACUAUUGCAGCAGCCUGGAUGUUUGCCUUGAUGGGAGGCUGGCUGACUGAUCGAUUGGGAAGGAAACCAGUAAUCCUAGUAGCAAGUUUCGUGUUCACGGCUGGUUCUGUGAUCAUGGGUAUAGCGCCUGGCAAGGUACUGCUCCUCAUUGGGAGAAUUAUUGUGGGGAUUGGAAUCGGUUUGGCAAGCAUGAGUGUACCUGUGUACAUAGCAGAGAGUGCAGUGCCCAGCAAGCGUGGUCGAAUGGUUACUACAAAUUCACUGUUCAUAACUGGUGGGCAGUUUAUAGCAGCUGUCCUUUGUGGUGCCUUCAGUAAAACAUAUGAAGGCUGGAGGUAUAUGUUGGGCCUUGCAGCAAUACCAGCAUGCAUUCAAUUUUUUGGUUUCCUUGGAAUGCCUGAGAGUCCAAGAUGGCUUGUUUCAAAGAAGAGGUACGAUGAUGCUCUCAAAGUUCUGAGUUCUAUCCGAGGAGACAGAGCAGUUGCGUCUGAUGAACUUGAGCUGAUCAAGGCUUCAUGUCUUGAAGAUGAAGAACUCCAGCAAGCAAAACAAGCAGGUUCAGGGCAAUCAACUUUUGUGAAAAUCCUGAGAACAAGUCACACACGCCAUGCAUUAAUUUUGGGAUGCGCCCUGCAAGCAUUCCAACAGCUGUCGGGCAUCAACACUGUGAUGUAUUACAGUGGUAGUAUAAUUCAGAUGGCUGGAGUUAAAGACCUAUCUCUGGUAAUUUGGUUAGCUGCUGCUACAGCAAGUGUGAACUUCCUGUGUACAUUCAUUGGCUUUUACUUAGUAGAGGUUUCUGGACGGAGGCCUUUGUCGUUGUGGUCUCAGGCUGGGGUUGUACUGGCUCUCAUCAUUCUGGGUGUUUCUUUCCACCUGAUGGCACUAGACUCACCAGGCAUUAGCAGUCCAUUUGAUGCACAGGAAGGGCCGUGUUCUGCAGCUGAGACAUGUGCAUCUUGUAUGGACCAAUUAGCAGGCUGCGGCUUUUGCUACUGGGAUCUUGAUGUGGCAACUAAUGGAACAUGCCUGCCUGUGAAUCCUGAAGGUGAAGCAUUAGUGGGGCUGUGUUCUAACAUGACAUCAACUCUUGUGGAUGAUGGGCUGACACUGGCUGUGGGAUGGUGCCCAUCACAUUAUUCUGCUCUUGCAGUUGCAGCACUUGGCAUCUACCUUUUGUUUUUUGCUCCAGGUAUGGGUACUAUGCCAUGGACGAUAAAUUCUGAAAUAUAUCCAACCUGGGCCAGAAGCUUUUGCAAUAGUUUUGCAACAUCUACAAAUUAUGGAUGUAAUCUGAUAGUUUCAAUGACUUUCCUCACACUUACUGAAGUGUUGACCAAGGAGGGUACAUUUUAUCUGUAUGCUGGGAUAGCUCUCGUGGGAUUGGUUAUCUUGUUCUUCAUACUACCUGAGACCAAAGGAAAAUCACUGGAGGAGAUGGGACAGCUGUUUUCUGGACCUUGGUGUGCAAGAAUGAAGAAAGAAAAUGCAAAGAAUGUUCAGAUGGAGCAAUUUCUUUCUAAUGAGGAAAGACAGAAUGCAAAAUAUUGAAUGCUGCUGGUCUCUUUUUCGCAUGUCAACUGCUGCUGCACCGUGUCAUCUGUGAAAUUCAAAAAUUACAGAAAAUGCAAGCAGCAAAUUGUGAUGCUUCUUUCGCAGUAGUGGAAAUGAACGCAGCUGGAAUUUAGCAUUGUUGAGUAUUCUUGAGAGGUAUUGUGUGUACCAGUUGUGAAAUAUUUUGGUUAUAACCAAGGUGUUAUAAGGACUUCUUGGUGAGAAUGCCAAAGAAAAUAGCAUUUCUUAUUGUUCAUUCAUUCAUUACUCCGUGGGCAGAAAACUGUAUAUGAGUACAGUGUUUUAGUAAUGUGUAUUUAUGUUGAGUUAGUGUCGGUAUGUUACAUGCACUUUUCUGAAGAGAACUGAAUGUGGAGAUUGUGACCUGCAUUGUAAUAGAGUGGAAAAAAGAUUUUUAAUGACAGAUAUUUUUAUAUAGUUAUUUAUAUUUGAAUUAUAAAUUGCAGAAACAAGUUCCAUGUACUGAUAGCUGUUUCCCUAGCUUGAGAGUGAUUGUUGUUGAAGUUACUGAUUAAAAGGAAGUGUAUUUACUGUUGUACCUUUAUCUAAAAUGGAAUAAAAUGACUGAUUUAAGCAUUUCUCAUUUUUAAUGAAGUUUGAGGACUGUGAAAUUAUCUAAUUAUUUAUUCUGAGUAAUGAAAGUAUGUGCAAAACAUUUGCUGCUGGUAAUUACUUAAUCAUUUGCGAAGUGAAGUGGAGUAAAUAGAAUUUUUUGAUUAUAUAACUUAUCACUAUAAAAUUCAGUGUGUAAAAUUAUAACAUAAAACACAUCAUUUCCCUACUAGGAUAAGGAAUUAUUUAUGUAUUACCAACUUCAGAUAUGUGAUUAUUAAAUAGCACUUACUUGUUGAUAUCCUGAACAAAGUAAAUGCACACUUUGUUUUAGCACUACUAUGUUACUCAGAUAAUGGUGCUUUUUCACUGUUCCUUACAGUUUAAUGUUUCCCCUCACUGCAUUUAAUGACAAAAUAUGUACAUUUCACAAUUUGUGGCAUUGAUGUACUUACAGGAAAAGAAUAAAUUUAUAUAAAAUUUGUCAUUUACAAUGUUUUCCUAGUAUCACAAGAUAGCAGCAGAUCUGUCGUG
Molecule: RNA transcript, 2933 nt
Organism: Schistocerca nitens (vagrant locust)
Lineage: Eukaryota; Metazoa; Arthropoda; Insecta; Orthoptera; Acrididae
Gene name: proton myo-inositol cotransporter-like
Exons: 13
Source: RefSeq, a predicted model, not a curated record